AAUGCAGUCGAGCGACGGACGAGAAGCUUGCUUCUCUGAUGUUAGCGGCGGACGGGUGAGUAACACGUGGAUAACCUACCUAUAAGACUGGGAUAACUUCGGGAAACCGGAGCUAAUACCGGAUAAUAUUUUGAACCGCAUGGUUCAAAAGUGAAAGACGGUCUUGCUGUCACUUAUAGAUGGAUCCGCGCUGCAUUAGCUAGUUGGUAAGGUAACGGCUUACCAAGGCAACGAUGCAUAGCCGACCUGAGAGGGUGAUCGGCCACACUGGAACUGAGACACGGUCCAGACUCCUACGGGAGGCAGCAGUAGGGAAUCUUCCGCAAUGGGCGAAAGCCUGACGGAGCAACGCCGCGUGAGUGAUGAAGGUCUUCGGAUCGUAAAACUCUGUUAUUAGGGAAGAACAUAUGUGUAAGUAACUGUGCACAUCUUGACGGUACCUAAUCAGAAAGCCACGGCUAACUACGUGCCAGCAGCCGCGGUAAUACGUAGGUGGCAAGCGUUAUCCGGAAUUAUUGGGCGUAAAGCGCGCGUAGGCGGUUUUUUAAGUCUGAUGUGAAAGCCCACGGCUCAACCGUGGAGGGUCAUUGGAAACUGGAAAACUUGAGUGCAGAAGAGGAAAGUGGAAUUCCAUGUGUAGCGGUGAAAUGCGCAGAGAUAUGGAGGAACACCAGUGGCGAAGGCGACUUUCUGGUCUGUAACUGACGCUGAUGUGCGAAAGCGUGGGGAUCAAACAGGAUUAGAUACCCUGGUAGUCCACGCCGUAAACGAUGAGUGCUAAGUGUUAGGGGGUUUCCGCCCCUUAGUGCUGCAGCUAACGCAUU
RNAcentral lists this ribosomal RNA (824 nucleotides) under Staphylococcus aureus. RNAcentral's name for it is "bacterial SSU rRNA". It matches the Rfam family "Bacterial small subunit ribosomal RNA", at positions 54 to 861 of the family's 1533-position model. Lineage: Bacteria; Bacillati; Bacillota; Bacilli; Caryophanales; Staphylococcaceae. The record is from RNAcentral.